This is a long non-coding RNA of Cyprinodon tularosa, 1116 nucleotides long. RefSeq lists it as uncharacterized. NCBI's taxonomy places the organism in Eukaryota, Metazoa, Chordata, Actinopteri, Cyprinodontiformes, Cyprinodontidae. The transcript has 2 exons. The record is from RefSeq and is a predicted model, not a curated record.
UUCCUUCCUUCCUUCCUUCCUUCCUUCCUUCCUUCCUUCCUUCAAGGUACAGGAACUUUAGAGAUUCUCAUCUGAAAACUGGCAGAUUGGACAGAACCUUCGGUUGCAACAUCUGCCCGCUACAUCUGUCGAGGGGCAGCCAGGAUUCCCAUCCUCUGCAAAUCCACGGCUCAACCAUUUACAGAUUAACUGCAGCAAUAAUGCCUCCUAAAACACACUGAAACUGCAUCAAGCUGCCACAUAUCUCCUCAGCGACAUAUAAUUGUUUACAGAGAAUUAAAUAUGUCUUCAUGGAUGUCCUUCAUCUUCAUUUCUCAUGUUGUAAAACCCACUUUUUUUUUUUUUGAGAAAUUAAUUUCUCAUUGGAGAAAGUGGAUAAGAUAAAUCAAAUAUAGUUCCUGUAGCUUUAAGCUUCACAGUAGUGACCCAGUUUUAGACCCAGACCCUCAUGUGAGAGUAAUUCAGUGUAGCUGUGAAGGUUUCUGACUGGUGUCUCUUGUAAUCACAUCAGCGUAGUCAGGGUUGGGAAUUAAGAUGCUGUUAAUGUGUUUUUUUUUUCGAGCGACCAUUUUUUUUCACCUUGUUCCCAGCCUUUAAAAUCACAGCAUGCAGGAUGGGUUGUCUUGUAAAGUGGUUGGAUUGAACAGUAAACAAUCCCUUACAGAAGGAUUUACUCAGUGGUCUGAACAUUACUGCAUGCCACACUAUUCAUUUGUUUGAAAAAAAUCCCCCAAAAUUCCAAUAAUGCGCUACGGUGGGCUGUCCAUCUAAAAAUCUGGAUAAAAGGUUUGUUUUCUGGAAUAUGAAAAAAUGUCAAGUUCAAGGUGUUUGAACAUUUUCCAAGCCACCAUAGGGCUGGAAAGCAGACAAGUCGAUGAACUUUGCAGGAGGGGGAACCUUUGGCUUUUUUGUUUCACUCAAUGCUGCAGCGUUCAGGCAGUUCCUGCAAUUAUCUGGAAAUGGCCUGUCAGAUCAGCCUGCUCUCAGAGGCUGACUGAGUGGAUGAGUGUGCCUGAAAAAUGAAUUAUAUCCACACUUCCUGAGUGCCAGUUGAAAUUUUCAACAGAGUGGAAAGAAGGAAGCACUAUGUAAAAAAAAAAAAAAAAAAAAAAAAAA